Molecule: ribosomal RNA, 497 nt
Filed under: uncultured bacterium
Lineage: Bacteria
Description: bacterial SSU rRNA
Rfam family: Bacterial small subunit ribosomal RNA
Source: RNAcentral
CGCUGGCGGCGUGCCUAACACAUGCAAGUCGAGCGGGACAUGCGACGGAUAGGAAGAUUCGGUGGACUUGAAGAUGCAUUGUCUAGCGGCGGACGGGUGAGUAACGCGUGAGCAACCUGUCCCUUACAGGGGGAUAACACAGCGAAAGUUGUACUAAUACCGCAUGAGACCACGGGAGGACAUCCUUCAGGGGUCAAAGGAGCAAUCCGGUAAGGGGUGGGCUCGCGUCCGAUUAGAUAGUUGGUGAGGUAACGGCCCACCAAGUCGAUGAUCGGUAGCCGACCUGAGAGGGUGAUCGGCCACAUUGGGACUGAGACACGGCCCAAACUCCUACGGGAGGCAGCAGUGGGGAAUAUUGGGCAAUACGGGGGGAAACCCUGACCCAGCAACGCCGCGUGAGGGAAGAAGGUUUUCGGAUCGUAAACCUCUGUCCUUGGUGAAGAGGAAGAGACGGUAGCCAAGGAGGAAGCCCCGGCUAACUACGUGCCAGCCGCCGC